Molecule: long non-coding RNA, 767 nt
Organism: Biomphalaria glabrata
Lineage: Eukaryota; Metazoa; Mollusca; Gastropoda; Planorbidae
Exons: 3
Source: RefSeq, a predicted model, not a curated record
AUAGACUAUAUAUUACAUGGACUGCCAACUCUACGCACUAAGCCUAUAUUUUUCAAUAAACAAGUCCCGUUCACGGAGGCGUCCUUGGUUGCGUGGUAAAUUGACUUCCGGUAGAUUUUUUUUUUACGUAUAAAGAAACCAUUCCCGAAGAUUUUUACCACCACUUUUACAGCAAAUCAUGAAUGGAAACUGAACUGUUAUAGAAGAUGUUACAGAGGAGCAUACUACUUCCACAAACCUGAUUUGAUUGUCACUAACUUUCAAAUUGAAAGGGAUCUACUACGACUGCUCAUGAAUUUCGAGAUUUUACAGCUAAUAGAGGAACAAAUUUUAUCUGCUUCCACUUAGCCAAACAGCAUGGAAAUAUGCUAUUGUAAUGAGUAGAAGAUAUUUGUCAUUUAGAGUAUCAUGCAACAGCUAAUUAUCAGUCCACACAUUUCAAGAUGAGGAAAAGAACAGUAUAAGCUACAUUCAUUGAUGCAUUAUUUAUACAAAAAUGUAUAGUCAACCCAGUCAUCACUCCAUUUUUUUAUGAAGCCAGUUACAGUUACCAUGAAGGGAUGAAAUUUCAGAUAAUAUUUUGUUUAUUUCAUGAAAUGAGAAUAGGCCUACAUCAGAAAUUGAGAUGGUCAUCUUCAGUAUUUAAUGUUUCAUCUAAAAAUGAUAAUUAUAUUAAUACAUAUUUGAUGUACAAACAAAUGAAAACCAUUCAAACACUUUUUUUUUGUGAAGUAUAGAUGAUUAAACUUGUAAGUGUCUGAACAAUA